RNAcentral lists this microRNA precursor (206 nucleotides) under Oryza brachyantha (malo sina). Its description in RNAcentral is "MIR812 microRNA precursor family". It matches the Rfam family "MIR812 microRNA precursor family". The record is from Rfam by way of RNAcentral. Lineage: Eukaryota; Viridiplantae; Streptophyta; Magnoliopsida; Poales; Poaceae.
AACAAACUAAUCUUUCACUUUUUAUCUAUAAUGUUUGUCUCUUCGUCUUAUUUAAAAAAAUUUACGAUUAACAUUUUUAUUUUAUUAGAUGAUAAAUCAUGAAUAAUACUUUACGUGUGACUAAUUUUUUUAAUUUCUCAAAAAAAAAAAUUCAAAUAAGACGGAUGAUCAAACGCUGAACACGAAAAUCGAAAGAUUGGUUUGUU